UCUGGUCCAGACACUGUGGAGC
RNAcentral lists this microRNA (22 nucleotides) under Sus scrofa (pig). RNAcentral's name for it is "ssc-miR-7136-5p". The record is from miRBase by way of RNAcentral. Lineage: Eukaryota; Metazoa; Chordata; Mammalia; Artiodactyla; Suidae.